UGAAGACUGAAUGCCUUUUGCUUGGGGAUAGUGUGCAGUGGCUUGUUUAAUUAUUUUUGCAAGAGCAGUAUGUUAUGGGAACCUUUUCAUGUGCAAACUGCAUUGAAGGCGGGAAUCUCCUGUUAAGAGUUGUGUAUUAUGUUCCCAUAAGCAAAGGUAAUGAUGAAAACUUUUAAAAUUGGUUCAUUGGCUUUGGCAAUCAGUAUCUACUGAAGAUCUCUUAUACUUCUCAGAAUCACUUCCCCCAGUUGAGGAGUACUACUGUUUGGUUUUUGUUUGUAUUAUGUAUUUGCUGGAAGGAGAGUACUAUUGUGUGUUUUUUGAGGGUGAUUACAAACAUAAAAUAGAUUCUCUUGAGAACGCUUUGUCUACUCUCAUCACAAUUGGUAAUUGUUUUGUGUUGUGUAACACUCUGCAUGCUGUGCUUCUUAUUUGGCAGUAUGUGUGUGUGAACCUAAAACUGGAUUUCCACCUCCAGCAUUUUAUCACUGAUGUUUUAAAGGUGAAUCCUGGAACAAAGCAUAAAACCUCUCUGAACUCAUGCAUUGCUAAUCGAUGAAUAUUUACUGAAUUAUGGCCAAUUUUUUCAGUCAUUUGGGAAAUCAAGUUUGCUACAUUUUAAUGGAUGUCUUCUCCAAUUAGGAUCCGUAUGAGGUAGCUUUCAAAAAUGAGAAAAACAACCAAACCCCACUCCCAAAAUAAUUACUUUUGCUGUUGAAGUAGACUAAAAUAGUUAUUUAUGUGCAAGGUGGGUGUCAUCCUUUUGCACCAAGGGUAUUUUCAUAGGCCAUUCCAAAAUGCCAAGGGAAAAGGAAUCCAUACUCUUCAUAUAUCCUAUUAGCAGAGAGCCUUGAGGUAGUGAUGGGCAAGACGUGUGGAAAAAAUGCGGCUUCUGCCAAACGUUUUCUUUGUAGGUCACUUAUUGUAGUUGCAAUUACAGGGAGCAUAAGAGCAAGUGAUCUAUUAGCAAAGCCAUGAAAAUAAACCAUUUGCCACUUCUAACAAGUGUUGGACCAAAAUAUGCCUCAAAUUUUAAAAAUAAGUGAAAACUUGGCAAAAAGUAAGACCCGGGUUUAUCUGCAUUUCAUCAGGUACAGGGCGUCCUGGAA
Lonchura striata (white-rumped munia) is the source of this 1109-nucleotide non-coding RNA. NCBI's taxonomy places the organism in Eukaryota, Metazoa, Chordata, Aves, Passeriformes, Estrildidae. The record is from RefSeq and is a predicted model, not a curated record.